Lynx canadensis (Canada lynx) is the source of this 1807-nucleotide RNA transcript. It is a transcript of the gene named neutrophil cytosolic factor 4, with no coding region annotated. NCBI's taxonomy places the organism in Eukaryota, Metazoa, Chordata, Mammalia, Carnivora, Felidae. The transcript has 9 exons. The record is from RefSeq and is a predicted model, not a curated record.
CUUCUAAGUGACAGAAGCAGGGGCGAGGCCUCCCCAGGGCCGUCUCCUGGGACCGCCUGGGACCACAGCAGAGACGCAGGGUGGCUAGAGGCGAGAGAGGUGAACGCGGCCUGGGCCUGCCUGGGUGAGAGACCCUUGCCACUCACGCCCUGGGAACACUGGCGGCCAUGGCCGUGGCCCAGCAGCUGCGGGCUGAGAGCGACUUUGAACAGCUUCCCGAUGACGUAGCCGUCUCGGCCAACAUCGCUGACAUCGAGGAGAAGAGGGGCUUCACCAGCUACUUUGUUUUUGUCAUCGAGGUGAAGACUAAAGGAGGAUCCAAAUAUCUCAUCUACCGCCGCUACCGCCAGUUCUACGCCUUGCAGAGCAAGCUGGAGGAGCGCUUCGGGCCCGAGAACAAGACCAGCCCGUUCACCUGCAGCCUGCCCACACUUCCGGCCAAAGUGUACGUGGGUGUGAAACAGGAGAUCGCUGAGAUGCGGAUUCCUGCCCUCAACGCCUACAUGAAGAGCCUCCUCAGCCUUCCCAUCUGGGUGCUGAUGGACGAGGACGUCCGGAUCUUCUUCUACCAGUCAUCCUAUGACGCGGAGCAGGUGCCCCAGGCACUGCGCCGGCUCCGGCCACGCACCCGGAAAGUCAAGAGUGAGUCCCCACCAGGCGCCCUCUUUGACCGCAUGGCCGCUCCGAGAGCAGAGGCCCUGUUUGACUUCACUGGGAACAGCAAACUGGAGCUGAAUUUCAAAGCUGGAGAUGUGAUCAUCCUUCUCAGUCGGAUCAAUAAAGACUGGCUGGAGGGUUUCUCCCCGGCGGCGCUGUUGACAUUUGGGGCCAGAUUGGCGUGGGGCCAUCCUGUGCCCUGCAGGGCGUUCCGCCGCAUCCUUGGCCUCCGCUCACCAGAUGCCGGCAGCACCCCUGCAGUUGACAGUCAAAUCCCUCCAGACAUUUGGCUCGGGGUGGGGGAGGCUGCAAAAUCAGCCGCAACUGGGAUGGGCUAGUGGGUCAUCUGGGAGAAUUGUCCUAACCGUCGUGCGGCAAGAAGAGAGUGAUACAGAGCGUAAGCUCCGGGGUCGGCCUGCCUGGUGUCCUUUCCUAGUUGUUUUUAACUAGCUUUGCGUCCCUGGGAACCUUGCUCAACCCUGUGGUUUCCUUUUCCGUAAAUGGAGAGAGCUGGCAAUUUCUUCCUAGCGGUCCUGGGAGGGCCGGCCGAGGCGCGGCUGUUCGGGGCUUGGCCCGCAGAGGGCCUCCGUGUGUGGCAUCUGGCCGGUGCCGGGGCUGCUGGGAAAGUGAAAUGAGACUCUGACGCCAGAGUCCGUCUUGACUGUUGCUUCGUCCCCGCAGGUGGCAUGUGGGGCCCCCCCCAGGGGUGAUUGGUGGAUGGAGAUGGGAGGUCCUGGCCUGCUUCUGGCCAUUCCGGUUGGAUCCUGCUGCCCUUAAACAAAGUUCCCUUUGGUCGAGGCUCCUGAGGCCGGGGGGCGUCUGAAGGAGAUUGUGGAACGGGCCCCGGGGGUUCUCGAGGGGGAGGGGAGGGUCGCUGGUGUCCAGGAGCUAGACAGGGGCAAGGACCGUUGGUCUGGCCGACUUGGCAGCUUUGAUCUUAGCCCCCGUCCUGGAGCCGUGUCUCGGGACUCAGCGGCUCUUACAGCUGUUGGGCAUUGCUGGCCACUCUCCAGACCCAGAAAAUGUCUGUUGCCUUCCUGUUUUCUGAAAAGUUCUGUGUGGCACCAUCCGGGGAGCCACGGGCAUCUUCCCACAGUCGUUCGUGAAGAUCCUCAAGGACUUCCCGGAGGAAGACGACCCCACCAACUGG